Molecule: long non-coding RNA, 4736 nt
Filed under: Malus domestica (apple)
Lineage: Eukaryota; Viridiplantae; Streptophyta; Magnoliopsida; Rosales; Rosaceae
Description: long non-coding RNA (MDOM_LNC005797)
Source: RNAcentral
CUCCAUAGCUUGCCCUUUGGAUGGCUGCCCAUGAUGAUGGACCGCAAUUAAGCAUCCUUCUUGUGACCAGCUGUUGGCAACCUCGGCUGAGCAUUCUGUAUGUGACCAACUAGUGAUCUUUGUGUUACGGAAUAGGAUUCCCUUUACUCGUUAGAGGAACAUCCCUUUUGAGCAUCCACGAUGUGACCAGCUAGCAUUCAUAGCUGAGCAUCCUGUUGCGUUCCUUCCGAAUGCAAUAUAUGGUUAGUAUAAUGGCAUAAGUAAGGGUGUCAAACCACAGAGAGUGAUUAGACGUCUAUAAAUUACUAGACUUGAUAGAACCCCAACUAAACAAUGAAAAUAACAAAUUAAAUGUAGGUUUUGUUCUGUUAAUGAUAAUAACUAAAAAUGCAAGAAAAAUGUAACAACGAAUGAUAUGUUGAUUGAGAAACGAUGAGGAUGGGUCCAUGGAUUUCGAGUUACCCAUUACAAAACCAACUCCAUGUUUAUAAAAUUAAACCGUAUUCAAUUACCAACCUGUUUCCAGAGUUCGUUUUACAUAUAUAUGAUCAGCCAUAUGAUGUGUGGUUUUGAUCAAAUUCUCCUAAUCUACAACCUAAUUGGGAUGUUCAACUUCGGCUCCAAAUUAAGAGUCUUUAGAAUGCAAGAAAACGUUACCAAAGAAAAUACAUGGUAGGAUGUUUGCAUAGCAUUCUCUUCAUUCAUUCACAUGUCUACCUAGAUUAAGCUUGAUGUUUACUAUAAUCUUUAUCAAAAGAUCUGUAAGAAAUCUUAAUGGUGAUCAAUCAUUAAAAUUUACAAACAAAUUUAACAAAAGAUUUUGUGAAUGAAACAAGAGACAGAUUGAUGAAUUGAAUAUUUUAACAUAAAAACAAGGCUACAUCGAAAUCCCUAGCUAUGAAUUUAGUUACACAUCAUGUUCAUAGAGAUGAAAUUCGAAAUACACAACAUGAGUGAAAAUAAAUCAAAGAGAGAGGAAACUCUUGAAGCAAUUAUGAUGUGGAACUUCUCUAAGAACAGCCUGUCGGGAUGAGUCUUCGAUGAUGUUGGACUGUAUAGAAUGGGUGGGGUUUUGAGUGAGGAUGAAAUGAGAGAAAAAAUAGUUACUAGAGUUGUGAAAUUCGCUUAGAGUGAAAGGUGUAUAUGAAAAUGGCUGAAAGGCUAGGUUUUAUAAUGUUAAAGAGCUGUUACAAAUUGCCAAUACAUCCUAGUAAUUGGGCAUUUACUUCCCACAUUUUUUUGCUGUUAUUGGUCUUAUAAAGAGCCAUAUUCAUCACCAUAUUCAGUUUCCACUUUUAAUUCUUUGUCAACAUCAGCAUCCUUAUUCAAUUCUCCACAUUGAUAGGAGCAUAUUUAUGCUACUUAGUUAGCUUGUUUUCUUGCACUUUUAUAGUUAGUUCAUGGUUAUUAUAGUGUUUUAAGCUAUUUUCUUGUGUUUAUAGGUCCAAAUGACAAAGUUGGCAAGAAAGUGCAUUUUGGAGCAUUUUGGAGCAGUUUUGGGCACUAAAUGGAUAGCACAUGUAUGGGCCAAGAUGGAUGGACAAAUUUUGAGUUCAAAAGGCUAGGAAUCUGAUAAGGAGAUGAAGAAAUUAAAUUCAAGACAAAGAUAAGGAAUAAGCUCAAAAGAGGAAACAUUAUCCACAACCUUAUCCAACCUUAUCUUAUCCAAACCAACCUUAUUUUAUCCUAUCCUAAUCUUAUCCUGUCUUAAUCCUAGCUGCAAGGGGACCUAAAUUUAUAUUUCUAGAACUUAUUUAUAGAAGAAUUCCCUUCUAGAAGUCCCAAAUCAGCCAAAAAACACAUUGUUUCUAGAAACCCUACAAAAGUGGCGCUUAUUUCCCUUCUAGAAGGCUUUUGCCUUGCCUUGCAAGCUAUUCUGUUUUUCAUCCAAUGUGUGCCGCACCCCUCUAUCCCUUUUCCUUUGUGGAUUCUGAUCUAUUAGGCCUUAUUCCUUAUGGAUUUGGGUUAUACAAAUCCUUUUCUGAAAUUAAUUGGGCUAAACCUUUUCCUUAGUGGAUUUAAAUCCUUGUGCCAAACCCUAGGGCCCUAAUUCUCCUAGUGUACUGAUUUCUAACCCUAAUCUGAUUUACCCUAGGGUUUUGUUGAGCCUAUAUAUACAUAUUUUCAGUACAAAUUCGUCACCACCCUUCAUACCACUCAGAAACACCUUUGCUGCAACCCUAACCACCAUUCUACAUCUCAAAACAUCAUUCUACAUCAAGAUACAUUUGUGCCGCACCUUUUGGAGAAAAAGGAGAGCCUUGCCGUGCAUUCCAUUGAUGAAGGAGGGCCUUGUGCACAAGCCAUCCGCAUCCUUGGGAGUUUUAAGAGUUCUUUCUUCCUUCGUUUCAUGUUUCGAUGUUUAUUUCAAUUUACUUUUCAACUGCUAUGAACAUGUGUAGCUAAAUUCUUAUUAGUUAGUGGUGAAUUCGAAACCAUGGACAUAUGUUUAAUAUGAAUUGAGUCUUUUCAGUUAUUAUUUCAUAAAACAUGAAUGCAAUUUACUUAUCUAUUUGAUUGAUAACUUAUUCUUGUAUGUUGAUUAAGGAGGCCUACUUAGUUUGCAUGCUUGAAUCUGAUGCUAAAUUAUAUGGGACUUUCACCUAAUCGUUAGGAACUUAUAAUUACAAGUAGUGAAGAUUGUUAGUCACAAUCGUAUUAAGUAGAUUAUUGGCAAGAGUAUCAUGCAGUUCAUAGUUAUAAUUGCCUUGUCAAUGCUUAUGAUUUCCAUAGAAUUUAAUGAUCUUUGAAUGUAUCUCUAUCAUACUAUUCAUAUAGGGAACUUGAGAAGAAUGAUUUGGGUUGUUGCAUGCAUUCAUCCAAUUCAAUGAAUUUAGGGAAAUCUGAGAGUUAAUUUGUGCAUUCAUGAUUAAUUUGGGGCAUUCUCAUUCAUGGUUUAAAUCUGAGAGUUAAUUUGUGCAUUCACGAUUAAUUUGGGGCAUUCUCAUUCAUGGUUUAAAGAAACAAUACUAGAAAUCAAUUUAUGUUGCAUAUGUUCAUGUGUAGAGAAGGAUCCUCUAACUAGCUUUUCACCCUUGAAUUCAUCUCAAUUUUGUUUUAGUUUACUUUGUUUUGCAAUUUGUUUAGUUUUAAUUCAAUUUCGUCAGAAACCAAACCCCCUUUUCUGUCUUGUGUUAUUUGGUCAGAAUCUGUCCUAAUUAGGUUCUUUAGAGUGUUUUGAGUCAAUAUAGGUUAUAAUUAGUCCAUAAACAUUGUUUGGGUCUUAGUUUAGUCUUAAAUUCGUCCAAUUUAAUCCCUAGAAUCUAUUAUGAGUCUAAUUGUUAGUAUUGUGCUAUUUUGAGUCUUUUAAGUGUAUUAUGAGUUAGUUAAGUUACAAUCUAUUUUCUUUUAAUCUUUUGAGUCAAAGUAAGUUUUAAUUUCGUUCAAAUCACUUGUUAGGUAUAGAAUUGAGUCUUUUUAACUUAGUUUUGCAGAUUUGAGUGGCUUAGGUCAGUUUAGAGUCUAUUCUUAUGUUUUUAAGUUUAGUUUAGUGUUUUAGAGUUUAAUUUGAGUAGAUUAGCAGCCCUAGUUAAUCCCCAGUUUAGAACAAUCCUUACUUAUAUCUUUUGCUACAAUUGUCAUCAAUAAGGUUUAAUUUGUGUGUCAAGUAAUUUUCACAUCACACAUUUAGCACCAUUUUGCCUUAUUUGUCCUCAACUGAGCUCCAAAAUACGAUAAGCUGCACACUAACACAAAAAAGGGUAAAAUGCAACAAGUUUAACUAAAAAAUAUCACAAAGGAACUAGGAAUGGAUGAUAUAAAUGUAUGAAAUUUAUGAGUUAUCAAAUACCCCCAAACCUGGUUUUUGCUGGUCCUCGAGCAAUACUAAAAUUGAAAACGAACAAAACAAAGAAAAAUCUAACUAGACCACUUUCGGUAGCUAACCGAUUGCAUUGAGCAUGUGCAACAAGCCUUUAAACCUCUAGGUGUCCCUAGUCGGAGGAGUGGUGUCUCCUGAGGGUUUACAGCGGUGACGCCCACAAACAUCUACAGACUUGACAAAUAAAUUAGUUAAGACUCACUUGAAACAAACUAAUAAGAACAAAUGAAUGCUUAGUCAUACCAUAAAACAAAACACUGUGACUUCAAAGAAUCAUAUCAUGUGUGUAGUGUAAAAGUAUUGCUCCAUGAAUCAUGACUUCAAAAGCGCCAUACUCAAAGAUGGAAGAUAGAAUUCGCCUUAACUUUAAUUCUCACAGAUUGUCACUCAAAUUUUCACUUAGAUCCUAAGGUUUUGUCUCUCAUCCAACAUAUAUGAGUGAAGUUAUGUAAAAGGGAAUCAAAAUUCUGACAUAUGAAAUAUGAAAUAAAAGCACAAUUUCUGAAUAUUUCUCAUGAAAGGAAUCAAACACUAAGAAUAUGGAUAGUACACAUACUUACCAUCACCCAUGAAUAUAUCCCCAAAGAUUAGCUAGGUCUUUCACAAGGUUGUAAUGUAAGGCUUAGGCUAGGGGCUACGAAAUAAUGGAUAGGAAAUACUAGAGCCUGGGACAUACCAAAGUGUCUUUGUUGUGAAACCAGUAAGCACUCCUCUUGAAUUGAUCUUCGUUGUUUGUUCUUGGCGUCUAGGACACACGUGCGAUAGUGAAGGAUUUGGAAAUUGCAUUUUCUUUAUUCAUUUUUUUCUUUUCUUUUUUUUUUCAAACUUUUUUUUGAAGGAAAAUUUUGUGAAAACAUGUUCAUUUAAGCAACAUCAAUAUAGCAUGCAAUUAACAAUUAAAGGCGGAAUCAUGCUA